Molecule: long non-coding RNA, 1848 nt
Organism: Bos taurus (domestic cattle)
Lineage: Eukaryota; Metazoa; Chordata; Mammalia; Artiodactyla; Bovidae
Source: Ensembl
AUUAAGUAGUUAGAAUUAAACUUUUCCAUAGCUACAAAGUUAAUAUCAUAGUGUAAAUGAAACCCGGGCCUUGUUAAAAGAUAAAUAGAAGCGUAUUAACCAUUUUAAGAAUAUUUUUUUGCGCAAAAUCCUUCUUGGAUUCAGCAGUGCCAAACCGAGCACUGGGGAGAGAUUUUCACGGAGAAAAGGUGGCAAGAAAGCAAGGAAAUUACUGCUGAUUGGCUACAGCUUGAACCCUAGUUGAUUGUGAUUGGUUGUCCUUAGGUUUUGAUUUCGUAAGCUGUGAGGCAUUUACAGGCUUAGAUCUUGGUUUGCUUCCGGAAGUGGGAGCUUGCUCUAUACAAUGGGUCUGAAGCCUAAAAAAGUAGGGAGAUACCUCAGGGUUCUCUCCUGUCCUGGGCUACAAAACAUUCACCUUAACAGACCGAGCUGUUUAAGCCUGCGCUGUGAAAACAUGACUUUCUCAAAUCCCAAACGCAAGCACUCGGCGGCAGGUGUGCCAUCAACACAAGCCCUGAGGGAAGGACAAAACCCUGGGGCGGUCACAGAAAGUACCAGCAAAAACAGCUGCUGUAUCAUCAGUCCUGCGUCAGUCAAUUGAAGGGCUGUUGGUGGACAGUGGGGAUAAAGAGGAUCUGUAAAAAUUACCUGAAAAAGAUUGGAAAUGAAGAGUACUUCUAAGCAGAUCGGACACAACUGAGUGAUUCUCAAAACAGGCCUUUGGACUCAGACUGGAAAUUUAUACCACCGGCUUUCCUGGGUCUCCAGCUUGCAGAUGGCAUAUUGUGGAACUUCUCUGCCUUCCUAAUCACAAGCAUUCCAGGCAUAUGAGGAAGACAGUCAUAUCAACUCUUCUGCCAUAGUUUCAACUUCCCUUAUUUCUCUCUUUUUAUGAUUGUGUAUCAAAAAUUUAUUAUCAAAUUUCAUGUAUUGGCACUGAAAUUUUACGAUGCUGAACAUAAUCUAUAAGAAAACAAGCAUACGAAAGAAUUAUGUGUAAGAGAAUAGUAGUGUUGGGAAGGAACACUGUUUCUGUUCUCCAACCCUCUCCACCUAUCACAGAAGUUAUAUUUUCAGACCAGAGAAAAGCAUGGUCUACCAGGAAUCUGAAAAGCAAUGUUUUCACAUCCUGUUGAAUAUUUUAGGCUGUUAGGCCAUCCAGCACUUUUGGCCAGUGUUUCCCCACUGUGGUGGAGAAGAAGCCAGUUCUUACUCCAUUUUGGAAACUGUUUCUUUGACUUGCUUUUGUUAUUAUAAUCAUAGUUAAUGGCUUGCCUCAAAGGACCCUGCCCCUCUGCCUGACUGCAAACUAAAGUGCCUUUGUUUAGCUUAUAGAGAGAUUAUCUGACCCUGCCCACCUGUGAACAGAAAAGAUUAACACAGCCCUUCCAAAGGCUGGCCAUUUCCUUGGAGACGUUUUACAAGACUGAAGACCCUUUCACUUCAAUGCCCCACUGCCUCUCCCUCUCUAUUCUGCCUUUUGACUUUAGUUCCUCAUUGAUUCUUUCUGAAGGAAAGUUACAUGGCUCAAAAUAACCUGGAGUUAAAACUCCUAGUCAGGUCCUCCCCACCAUUCUACGCAAAACAAAGAACUCUCUCACCUGAAGGAAAAACAAAAUGGACAUUAAGGUUAAUUUGCCCGGUUCCUGCUGGUCCAGUCCCUGGCCGAUCUCCAGAAUUCCUUGCCCCAGCCGUUUAAGAGAUAACUACUCCGUACAAUCCUCGAGAAGAACAGGCCGCCUAAAAACAGUAGCUUUCCACAUAUAUGCCUAUAUAUACUUACUCUUUUCUUGGGUUAGUGCAGCAGCUCACUAAUCUGACUACUGCCCCUUCUGGCCUCAUUAAAGG